GCUGGCGUAGCUCAGCAGGUAGAGCAGCUGCCUUGUAAGCAGCAGGUCGCGGGUUCGAGUCCCACCGCCAGCUCCA
This 76-nucleotide transfer RNA is filed under the name Anaeromyxobacter sp. RBG_16_69_14. Its description in RNAcentral is "tRNA-Thr". It matches the Rfam family "tRNA". From Rfam's summary of the family: Transfer RNA (tRNA) molecules are approximately 80 nucleotides in length. Their secondary structure includes four short double-helical elements and three loops (D, anti-codon, and T loops). RNAcentral also lists the same sequence under 2 other names. Lineage: Bacteria; Pseudomonadati; Myxococcota; Myxococcia; Myxococcales; Anaeromyxobacteraceae. The record is from RNAcentral.